Molecule: microRNA precursor, 84 nt
Filed under: Bombyx mori (domestic silkworm)
Lineage: Eukaryota; Metazoa; Arthropoda; Insecta; Lepidoptera; Bombycidae
Description: mir-2807 microRNA precursor family
Rfam family: mir-2807 microRNA precursor family
Source: Rfam by way of RNAcentral
UUAACUCAAAUUUGUAUGAAGUUGGAACGUUUGCCUAUGUUUGCCGCUAGGGACCCUGUUUCAGCUGCAUACACAUUUGAGUAA